Gallus gallus (chicken) is the source of this 2528-nucleotide long non-coding RNA. Lineage: Eukaryota; Metazoa; Chordata; Aves; Galliformes; Phasianidae. The record is from Ensembl.
AAGCCAAGCGAAUUGGAGUCUAAAGCUUUUCCUUGAAUUCAAGGCUGUGUUUACUGCAGUCAGGGCGAGGGAAGGAGGCAACCCCAAAGCCCUCCCUCCUCCUCUUCCCCCACCCUGCAAGCCCCAGGCUUGAAACUUGAUUUAAAAAAAAAAUACAAGAUUGAAUUUCAGUUUGCAGGAUUAGGGAGACGACUUUUAGGGGCUGCUUGUUGGAAAAAAAGCAAAGCAAAGCAGCUGGGAGGGAUUAGGCUGAGCUGGCGUCUGCACUUUCAACUGAUUCAAUUUUGCUCCACAAGACAUUGUAUCUGAGCCUUUCUGGAGACUAUUCAAAGCAAAUCAUUUUCAUUUUACCAUUUGGAGGUGCUUUUCCUGUUAGUGAUCCCUAUAUAGCACCGGAUUUGUGCAGCAGCCCACAGACUGCGUCCCAAGCAGAGCAGAACCUAGGAAAGAGUAAGAAGCCAUGAUGAAGUGCCAACUAGAAGGAGACCUUCCACCAAACUUCGCUCCAAUCUGUUUUGUUAUGACAAGAACAAGUGGUUUUAACAAGUAUGCCAUAAAUCAGGGGCGCGCGCUCCAGCCCGGAGCCUUCCAGCAGAAUAGGUACCUUAGGAAAUCCUGGGUUAUGAUAGACUCUUGGAAUUCAGCUUAAUACCACCACCAGGCUGCGGAAGAGACAGCAUGCAGACAUAGAGAUAAUUCACAGCUUGGGUUCUUUUCAAAGUCGCGUGCCCACUGCCAAGAGGAUCAGCCCCAUGGAAUCCCACUUGUUCAAUCCUGCUGCUGUGUGCCUACCAGGACACACUCAGGGGCUGCUGAGCCAGCAUCCAAGCGCAGAUUCCGAGGACACAUAAAGUUCUCCCUCUGUACUGCGGAGCUGUGCCCGUAGGUACCGUGAAUGGACACAGUUUUCCAGGCAGGCAUCAGAGGAGAGCAUGCCACUUGGACCAGCAGCGUAUCACAUCAACACAACUGCGUGGACAAGUCUUCAUAAGUGCUCGAUUUCUAUGCAAAAUGGAAAAACAGAUAGAAAACAAGGCCCCAUGGAUGGUAAACUAUGAAAUGUCCAACACAAGCACAUGCCAAGGGCCAGGACUGCAGCCAGUUUCUGUGCUGGACUGAGCUUUUACUUUGCUUCCCAUCUCAGUUGUUCCUGGUUACGCUGCUCCCAUGUGCUCUCACACCUCUGAACACUGAUUUUGGGUCUCAGAACUCUGGGACUGACUUCUCUCAUGCCAACAUCCAUCCAGAAUAACACAACCAAUUGGAAUUAUCCCUGAAGCACUGGCAGGCAAGAGAAGCACGAACCCAAUGAUUCAUCUUUUAGUUAGGCAGUUAUCUCUAUUACAACAGAAACCCAAUUUUCAGGCCUUUUCUUAGACUUCACCUAGCCAGACUCCCCUGUUGCUGACUUUGGGGAGGUCCCACUGAGAUCAGACCCCCCUGCGAUGUUCUUACAGUGUGGGCAGGUGGUGGCGAUGGUUCUUGGUCUCAUGACAUUUAUGUGUCAGAGCAGGAUGUUACCUGUGAGCUUGUAUCAAACGCAGCAUCCAUCCGGAGAUUACCUCUUGUGCAGGACUCUACACAGCAGGGCAGUUUUGGAAUAAGUUUGGAGACUUUCAAGGAAGAUCCCUCUGGGAUGGGGUCAUCUUGCCAACAAAAGGCUGAUUCACAGAUGAGAUGACUAAGUACACCAAGCAUUCCUAGGCCCCUGCGUUACUCACAGGUCUUUCAUCUGACGCCAUGUCCCAGCGCAGCCAAAAGGCAUGGUGCAGCCAAGUGACAGCAGAGGGGAGCCAUGAUGGGGGAGGCCCCAGGUCCUUCCCCUGCCACCCCAUCACUCACAGCUGCUGAGGCCCCUUCCCUACCCACUGAGGCCCCUUCCCUACCUGCAUCUGUCCAGCUUUGGAGAAAGACAUGCCAUGAGACCCGGAGGCAGCCAAGUCUUUAUCCUCGUAAAUGGAUUUGAUCUUUUUUUUUUUUCUUUUAAAUGCAACAUUUCACACAUUGCAGAUUAGUUUUUAGAAUAUAUCACAGUCAGUUAAUGAGGCAGAUUAAUCUUACACUUGUUUCAGCUAGAGCCAGAAGUGGCAAUAAUAGCAGAUCCAGCCAGUAAGAGCAGCAUGCCUCCAGGCACCCCUGGAAUCUCUUGUGUAAGGCUGACUUGCAAAGUAGGCAGCUAAAUUGUGUGCUUAUGUGUUCUGUAAUAUUGGCACAAGGCUGUGUAAUACACUGCAUGGUAAUCCCUGAGGAUCACAGAGGCAGCACAGAGGCAGUAUUUGGACUGGAGAGCUUCAAAGCAGAGCCUAGAAGCUGCAGGAACUGGUGCUGGCAUGGUCUUAGUUCCCAGAUAUUGCUUUCUCCUCUAUUCCUGAUGCUAUUACAGCCAUUACUUAACAUUGCAUGUUAAAUAGACAAAAUCCUGUUGGGUUAUAAGACAAAAUCAACAUCAGCCUGCUUAGUAACUUAGGAAGUAAUUAAGAGUUGUUUUAUAGGUACAAGUUCCCACUGUGCAAUAGACCAGUAAAACC